RNAcentral lists this ribosomal RNA (496 nucleotides) under uncultured bacterium. RNAcentral describes it as "partial 16S ribosomal RNA". It matches the Rfam family "Bacterial small subunit ribosomal RNA", at positions 29 to 507 of the family's 1533-position model. The record is from RNAcentral.
AUGCACGCUGGCGGCGUGCCUAAUACCUGCCAGUCGAGCGAACAGAUGAGGAGCUUGCUCCUCUGACGUUAGCGGCGGACGGGUGAGUAACACGUGGAUAACCUACCUAUAAGACUGGGAUAACUUCGGGAAACCGGAGCUAAUACCGGAUAAUAUAUUGAACCGCAUGGUUCAAUAGUGAAAGACGGUUUUGCUGUCACUUAUAGAUGGAUCCGCGCCGCAUUAGCUAGUUGGUAAGGUAACGGCUUACCAAGGCAACGAUGCGUAGCCGACCUGAGAGGGUGAUCGGCCACACUGGAACUGAGACACGGUCCAGACUCCUACGGGAGGCAGCAGUAGGGAAUCUUCCGCAAUGGGCGAAAGCCUGACGGAGCAACGCCGCGUGAGUGAUGAAGGUCUUCGGAUCGUAAAACUCUGUUAUUAGGGAAGAACAAAUGUGUAAGUAACUAUGCACGUCUUGACGGUACCUAAUCAGAAAGCCACGGCUAACUACGUG